UACGUAGGGUGCGAGCGUUGUCCGGAAUUAUUGGGCGUAAAGGGCUCGUAGGCGGUUUGUCGCGUCGGGAGUGAAAACCUUGGGCUUAACUCAGGGCUUGCUUUCGAUACGGGCAGACUAGAGGUAUGCAGGGGAGAACGGAAUUCCUGGUGUAGCGGUGAAAUGCGCAGAUAUCAGGAGGAACACCGGUGGCAAAGGCGGUUCUCUGGGCAUGAUCUGACGCUGAGGAGCGAAAGUGUGGGGAGCGAACAGG
Molecule: ribosomal RNA, 253 nt
Filed under: uncultured bacterium
Lineage: Bacteria
Description: partial 16S ribosomal RNA
Rfam family: Bacterial small subunit ribosomal RNA
Source: RNAcentral